Molecule: unclassified non-coding RNA, 429 nt
Filed under: Hevea brasiliensis (rubber tree)
Lineage: Eukaryota; Viridiplantae; Streptophyta; Magnoliopsida; Malpighiales; Euphorbiaceae
Source: RNAcentral
GGCAAGGUGAUAUAUUUUUUUUGCUUAACAACUUUUUCCAUCAGAGAGAAUUAGAGAAGUAUAGAUUCAAAUUUGAGUUUAUCAAAUGACUAAUAUAUUUUUAAAUGUUAAAUCAAAUUAUAGUAAGUUAUUAUUAAAUAAUUUUUUUUAUUACCUUAUGGAUGUGAGGUAAAUUUACCAUUCAUAGGCUAAGUUUAAAUCCAAAACAUCCUUUAAGGAUUUCUAAAGAAUGGUUAGUGAAAUAUGAACAAAGAUCUAAUUUCCUUUGCAUAUUCAGAAAAUCUUCUUUGAAGCGUAUUGUAUAAAUAUCAAAAUGAAAAAUUAAAAUUUUUAAACUUAUUUUCUUAAUUUACAAAUUCAACUUACAAUCUUAAAAUUAUUAUAAAUAAAUAAAUUAAUAUAUAUUCACAAUUUAUAAAUUGAUAAAAU